GAAAAAUAAGAGGAGACUUUUCAAUUUAAAUUUUCCUUAGUACAUUUUUUUCCAAGUCAACACUCAUUAAUAACAGUAAAAAUAACUAAUACAAACAUCAUUUUCAUCUUCAUGCAUCUCAACAAGAAAACGAUAAAUUUUAAAAAGUAAAAAGAGGAAAGUAACUUUAAAAGGUCUUACAUAUAAAAUUCACAUAUUUUUAUUGGAUUAAUUAUCCAAUUAGGUUGAUGCCUUGAAUAAUGAGUGAAUCAGCUAGAACUUGGUUAGCUGCUUGAGAUGGAUGCACACUAUCCCAAAACACAUAUUGUGUUGCAUUGCUACAUGUUCCUGGUGAUUUUGGGUUGCAUAAUAAUGAUGUUGUCUCCACUGUUCCUGUUCCACAACACCCUCUGUUUGCUUCCGCGAAUCCGUGGUCUGAUGGAGAUUUGACGAGGUCAUAUAGGGGUUGGAAGAUGUCAAAGACAGCAAUCUUAAGUCCAGGAAGUUGCUUUUGUAACUGUGUUGCAGCUGAAUUCAUUUUCUUGUUGAAUUGUUGGGCAUCUGUAUUGAUCUUUGACACACAUCCAUUCUCAUGAAAUCCGAAUAAUGUUCUAGCAGCUGGUAGACAGCCCAAUGGUGGAAGUGAAGUUACCCCAAUUCUUCUUGCUCCUUGCCCAUACAAAUCCUUGACGGAGCUAGUGAAUAUGCCGACAAGAUAAGAACCAUAUUGAUCAGGAGUGUAGAGUUUGUUAAGAUACGGAUUGAUGUAGUAAUUCUGUAAGAAAUCACUGCUUCCUGCACUUAUUAUGUAAAGUGCAUCCUUUAGGAUGGAUGCCGCUUUUUGACUGCCUGCAACUUUUGCUAGCUUGGAUUGAUACUCCUUGUAGUAUUGCAUCUGUGUUGAAAAUGGAAUUGCAUGGUUGAGGAUGGCGGUUUUAUCAUCAAAUCCAGCAGCAGCAGAAGCGAAAUUAGUACCAAUAAGGAGAUUCUUUCCUGAUGCUUCAGGGCUCAAAUAUGCAGCCGGGUAAGUAGUGAACCCAAGUGUAUCAGCAGUGAUAUCCGUAGCUAAUUUUCCAUUGCAGAAUCUACCGGUGGGUUGACGAGUGACAAAAUCCCUUCCAUAAGGUGGAUAAUUAGCCUUAAAAAGAGUAUGAAUGUAGUCAUUGUUUCCUACAUCCACAGCGGAAUCGCCAAAUGUAAUGAUUGCCGGAACAAGUGUUGUGGAACUUUGAGCAUUAUUCAGACGGAUGUGAAUAAAGCCCAAUAAAGCCACAAAGAAAAAUGCCAAUUUUUGCUGUCUGUAGAUACCCAUAUUUCCAAAACAAAAC
RNAcentral lists this unclassified non-coding RNA (1307 nucleotides) under Hevea brasiliensis (rubber tree). Lineage: Eukaryota; Viridiplantae; Streptophyta; Magnoliopsida; Malpighiales; Euphorbiaceae. The record is from RNAcentral.